GGUGCAAGGAUUGUAUGUCAAGUUAGACUCUUGCCAUCUCAAAUCACCUACAUUUCAUGCUGUGGCUGCAUGUACCAUAAGCAGGUAUUACAUUAAACUCACCUUUAAACUGCUUUAAUCAUAGAUGUAUGAAAAUACCUUGCUUUUCCCCCACUUUUGAAUACAUUUCAGGGAAAACUAAAGUGGUUAUAAAACUGUUUCCCACACAGAUAUUCCUAAACAUGUGCAAAAAUGCUCACUGUUGUUUAAAUGGUUGUGAAAAUAACUUGAAUAUUUAAUGCAUCCAAAACAACACUGGCUGAGAAGUUACUAAUGUUGCAAGACUAGAAUGAAAAGUAUGAUAAAUGCAUGGACAGUUAUUGUACAGAUUCUUUGCAGAGAACCUUUGCAUGUAUUUCUUAAUCAUGAACCUGGGACACAGCACUGUAUUUCUUUCAUUAGAUUGUCCUCUUAGGUGGCUUAUAUUUUGGGGAUUUGUCUCACAAUAUUGAGACCUCUAAGAGAAGUAUCUUCAAAUUCAGCAAGGGAGGCAAAUGGCCUACAGGCAUAGGUGAAGGAAGAAAUAAAAUGGUGAACAAAAGAACAAGGAACUAGGAGAGGCCAGGGCUGGUUUUGGUGAUGAAGUCCUCAUCACUGUUACCUGGGAAGGACAACAGUGCUCUUAGACCUCUUUACACACCUGUCUUUGACAGUCAUAGACCACAGAGAAACAAUAUCUUGUGUUCUAGAGAAAGCUCCCUCGCGCCUUUCUUUAAACUAUCCAAUUCAACAAGCUCUCAAUCUUAUCCGAGAACUGACAGUUAGAAUAAAAAUAUUUCAUUGCUUUGUUUCCUCUUCUGAGGAUAUAAUCAAAUUGCCAUCUUUCCCCUUGCUUUUCAUUGCCCUUUGCUGAAACAUACUGUCUGUGUAUAUUAAUAUUACUAACUUCCACAGGAAAAUUAAGAAGCUGAUAGAGAAAAAGGGUUCCACCACCAAAGCCUCGGAGUGGUCAAACUGAUCAAAAGAGGGACAUGAAGGCUCAGUAUUAUCAAAAAAGGGACACGAAGCCUCAGUAUUUAGUUUUGUUUUUGGUCUCUAUGGAAAUUACAAUGACCUAUGAAUUUACUAUCUAUGGUCCUAAAUUGAAUUUCUGGUAAAGACAGAUAUAUGUAUCAUAUAUUAAAAUGUUAAUAGUCCUGAAGGAAUUUUUAGCUAAUAUUAGNAAAAUGUUUCAUCUCUCUUCAAUUAUCUGUUCAUCUAUUUAUAAAUUUCUCUUGUAUACUCAGCACUGGCUCAAGGGCCAUGGGGGUACCACCAGGUAGACUUGUUCUCUGUCUUUCAUCAAUUACAAUAUAUUUGGAGAAAAAAUUAGAACAAUAGAGAAAAAAUUCAGGGGUACUAUAUUGCAGCAGAAAUUGCUACUGAAAGUUAUAGUAUUAAAAAACAUUCCAGUUUCUUGCUGAAAGUCCCCAGGGGGCAGGGGGAUUGCUAAUUGCCAUGAUUUCAGAUGGGAAAGCAGGAAUACAGACAUGAUGGUAACAAACACCUGGGGACAGUUAAGAGCCAGUGGUGGCCAUAGAGAAGGGCCAUCUUGGGGAGCAAUAUCAUAUCUUUGAACUAUGUGGCAGAACUUCAUUGUUAUGUAUUCUUCACUGAAUAGGUCAUAUAUUUUUUGACAACGAAUAUUCUCAUCAACUCCCUUGCCAUGCCUUACCACCCCUAGCUUGUUAGUGGAGAAAAAUUUACUCCUUAGGAAAUGAUUCCACUAUAACUGAAGCCAAUCUGCACAUCCAAAGUUCAAAAUCCACCAAAUAGACAUGUCAGGAGCAUUUGGUGGAUUGGAUAGAGUAUCAAUAUCUUAUUUUAACUCUUCCUCUAACCCUCAAGGAUUAGAGCCUCCAUCUCAAUGUCAGUAGCACUAAAAUCCUUUCAACAUUGAUCUAUGUACCCACUUGUCUGGUAUUACAAUUAAAAUGAUGUUUUAGUUUUUCUUCUCAAUGGGAUUGAAUGUUUUAAGGACCGGAGUAGGUCUGACAUAACACUAAAUUGUAGAUGCUAAAAUCAGGUUGAAUUUAAUGGAUUUAUAGGACCAUAAUUUGUUUUUCUUUUUUUUUCACUUUUGUUGUUGUUGGAGGAUGGUGAAAUUCUCACCUCUCGAGGUAAUCUGGGUAGGGUGGGGGUCAUCAUUUCACAAAUGCCUGGUUGAUACUACCAUGUAUUUACUGAUCUAUUUCAUUUAAAGUUUUCCUCUGAUGGCCUUGACUGUGCCCUAACAAAGCUGUUAAAACUGGUCCGGGAGUUCCUGUCAUGGCUCAGCAAUAACGAACCUGACCAGUAUGAGGACACGGGUUCCCUCACUGGCCUCGCUUUGUGGGUUAAGGAUCCAGCAUUGCCAUGAGCUGUGAUGAAGGUCAGACUCAUCUCAGAUGCCGUGUUUUUGUGGCUGUGGUGUAGGCUGGUGACUACAACUCCAAUUCGAGCCAUAGCCUGGGAACUUCCAUACGUUGUGGGUGCCACCCUAAAAAGACAAAAAUAAUUAAAAUAAAAAAUUAAAUAAAGCUAGUCUGGGGAGGCCAUCUUCGUUCCUUUGUAGAACAACAGAAACUGUAUACCCGCACCAUGUUUUGCAUACAGGGGUCUCCAACAAAGGGCAGGAAAGAUGAUAAUGAUCUCUUCCUAUCACAAGAAAAAAAAAAUCAAAGCAAGAAAGCAAUGGUUGAUUACGCUUAAUGCUUUUAUAGAUUUUCCUCCUUUCAGUCCCUCCGUCAUCUUCUGAUCUGUUGUUUAGAUACACCCUUUGAAGCAGCCUGUGCAUGGACACAUGUGAAGUUACCUUGUGCCUCCUUCAAUAUUGUUAUGAUAAAUAUUUCAUUUUUCCCUAGCUUCAAAUUCCUCUUGACAUAGAAAGGUUUUUCCUUUUCCUGAGUCAUGGUAUUGUUAUGGAUUCCACAAACAUUUAUAUCUACUCUUCCUCAUCUCUUCGUCUAGGGGUAAAGAAACCCAGCUUGUAUCUCAGCUGUUAGGAACCCCAGUGGCCACAGACUAGCUUUCUACACUUGGAAGUUCAUCAGGUGUAAAAUGGAAGGUUUUCCCCUUUCUUCCCCUUCAAACAUUUCUUUGGCCAUAUCUCCAGAGAUUAGGUGAAAAUCUUGCUACCCCUCACAAGAAGCAAUGUUACUUUUACAUGUCAGUAUAGAGAGGUGGUGUGUGCCUCCUGGGCAUUUGGAAAAUGCAAUAACACAAGGCUGUGAGGUGAAGGGCAUAGAAAACCCUGAUCAGGCCAAUUCCUUGUUUUAUUAGCAUGUGUCCUUUUGCAGCAGGAGCAUUCCACUGCCUGCUCCUUUUUGCAGUAUGAAAGAGAUAGAGGAUGCUCCCCAGUCAUACUUAGCAAAGCCAGACAGCCAUCAAAAACAGUUCCAGCUACAACCUCAGGGGAUCAAGGUUGUUGCAUUUGCCCACUGCAAUAUAACACAAUGUCUCCUUUAACUUCAGUAGUCUUGGAUGCCGAGAUUUAUGUGAACCAUGAACCACGGGAAGAUUUGAAUAUUUAUUGUCAACUAGGGGUGACUCAAAAAUGCACUCUUUUACAUCUGUGGACGUAUCAAUAUAAGAAAAUAAAUUUGAAAAAAGGAGAAAUAAAAUAUGUAGGUACUUGAAGAAAAGGAAUAUAAUUUUAGUGACAUUGUUGCUAUUCCACUGUUCACCUCAAGACUUGACUGACAGAUAAAACAGUCUUGUGUCAAUUUGAAGUGGCUUCUCAUCUCUGAAACUUUCCCUUUGCAGUGAAAUCCCUGGCAGGUCCCUUCAGCUGCCUCAGUGGGAAAGAAGCAAGCAAGAUUACAGACAGGCAGGAAUACCUCCUUUUCCUUCAGCCCUUCACUUUGGUUGUUUUACUUUUCUCUUGUUCUCUCUCUCUUUUUUUUUUUCUUGACUACUAAGGUAUAUUUAGUUUCUUAAAAUUUUUUCAAAUGAUCCUAUUACACAAAUCUGUUUAUAUAAAGGAAAGAAUACUUGAGAGAAGGUUAGACACCAAGAAGGUAACUUUUCUUUAGCAUAAAUGAUGUCCUUGUUGUAAAUAGAACUUAUUUUGAUAUUUGUGCUUAUUUUUAUGACCAUAAAAUGUUUUCCUAGAACAUAAGGCUCUGAAGAGAAUGUUAAGUUGUUAUUUUGAAUAUUACCUGGCCAAAUGGCAUCUUAGAAACUUCUACCUAAGAGGCAUUUAUGGUGAUAGUAUUACAAGGGGGAAAAAAAGUUGGAUGCUAAGGAACUAGCUUUGAAGCUGAAAGAUGCAUGGGACAUACAUUAUUUUUCUUAGAUUCUGGUUUUAAAGGAAUGGUUUGGAUGUAGAUCUAAUAGAAAAUCAAAAUAAAGUCACUGGAAAGAGCGAAGUCUUGCCAGAUCCCUUUCCAUAGUUUACAUGUAUUUCAAAAAUUCACCAAAGAAUGGGCACAAUUGGUGUCUUAGGGUAUGACAUUUAUGUCCAACUAACAUUUAGGACAAGCUUACUAUUUUUUAAUUAAGAAUUUGGCAUAUAUUAAGGAAUCAGUGAAAGCUAAAUGGUUUUAUUAAAACUACCUUAUUAGAAAUAAAUGAGAACAAAUUAGUUCUCCUGAACUGAUCCCACAGGCUCUACACACCACUUCAUAGAUGCCCCAAACAGUGUUUUGAGGCCAACUGCAUAGUCUUUGCUACAGUGGCUUCAGAAGUAGAGUCUUGAAGUUCUCAUGUGGCAAAGUGGGUUAAGAAUCCAGCAUUGUCACUGUAGCAACUAGGGUUGCGGCUUUGGCAAGGGUUCACUCCCUGGCAAGGGAACUGCCACAUGCUGUGAGCACAAGCAAAUGGUGGUGGGGGGGGUGUAUAGUCUUUUUUUUUUUGCCACAAUUGAGGUAUGUGGAAUUUCCCAGACCAGGAUUCGAACCUAUGCCACAGCAGUGACCCAAGCCACCAGAGUGAAUGCCGAAUUCUUAACCUUGAGGCCACCAGUGAGCUCCAAAAGAACAGUCUCUAAAAGUCCAAACUCCUUUUCUCACGAGGAAAAUGUCCUAGAAAAAAAAUUGUGGGUCUUCUCUAGAAUGUCAUUAAAAGAUACUGGCAAAUAACAGAGUGCCAGUACAAAUUCCACCUGGUGAACUUAAUUAAAUAUUGGGAAACUCAGUGUGCUUUUUUUCUUAUUCCUUUUUCAUCAUUGCAAUUCACACAGCUCACAUUUCACUCCUGAGAACUGCUGGCCAGGCUCAUUUGCUUGUCCUGCUGUACUGCUUUUUUGAUCCCUAACAUAGGAAACUACUUACUGUACAUAAUAAAACUAUAGCAUCUUCCUGGCUUUAUCUCAUUAAUCUUCUUGACUAAACAAAACCAAUUUGUCUUCUUGCUUCACCUUUAUCCUUCAAUUAAGAACUUGUUUUCUUACCUUCGGCUCUUUUCCUUCAGUUCACCUCCAGUUGAGUCAACUGUCAUUCUUCAUCUCCAAUAAGUUCUUUGGGUCACUGCCAUCAGUUGUAUAGUUGAAGGACUGAGUUCUUAACCUUUUAACUGACAAAGAAAAGGCCAGACUCUUGUUUUUGAUUUAGCAGAAGUUGCUGUUGCCUUGCUAGAUUAUUAAUACUAAUAUUUACCCUUAUUAAAAAUAACUAUUUAGGAGUUCCCAUCGUGGCACAGUGGUUAACGAAUCCUGACUAGGAACCUUGAGGUUGCGGGUUUGAUCCCUGGCCUUGCUCAGUGGGUUAAGGAUCCGGCGUUGCCGUGAACUGUGGUGUGGGUUGCAGACAAGGCUCGGAUCCCGCGUUGCUGUGGCUCUGGCGUAAGCUGUGGCUCUGGCGUAGGCUGGCAGCUACAGCUCCGAUUAGACCCCUAGCCUGGGAAUCUCCAUAUGCCGCAGGAGCAGCCCAAGAAAUGGCAAAAAAUAAUAAUAAUAGUAAUAACUAUUUAAUUCUGUAUAUGAGAAUGGAACUAAAAAAUUCCUUUCAUGAGUUUCCCUUGCUUCCAGGCAAUAUUUGAUCCUGUAGACAAAAAGAUGAAAUUGUAAAAAUGCCAGAAAUCUAGGAGACAGAUAUCACAGAAAAAUCCUGAGAGUCAAUAAAGUUGGGCAAUCCUAUUCCUUUUUCAAUUCUUUACAUCACCCCAUGAGAAAGCAAAGACUUACAACUUUUCUUUUUUUUAUUAAAGUAUAAUUGAUUAAUAGUAUUGUGUCAAUUUCUGCUGUACAGCAAAGUGAUCCAGUCAAAUGUAUAUAUAUAUAUAUAUAUAUAUAUAUACAUUCUUUUUCUCAUGCUAUCUUCCAUCAUGUUUUAUCCCAAAAGAGUGGAUAUAGCUCACUGUGCUAUACAACAGGACUUCAUUGUUUAUCCAUUCUAAAUGUAAUAGCUUGCAUCUACUAACCUCAAACUCCCUGUCCAUCCCACUCCCCCCCCUCCCCCUUGGCAAUGAUGUCACUUAUAUGUGGAAUCUAAAAAAUGGCACAAAUCUAUCUACGAAAUAGAGAAAAACUCACAGACAUAGAGCAUUAUGACCUUUCUUGAUUAUUGUUCAUGUUCUAGGCUCAUGUUUGUUUUGAAGGGAAAAGCAGAGAGCUGGCUCCUUUAUGGAAAGCUUUUGUUUUAUCCACUGCAUCUCUUCUUGCAUUUAUCCGCUCCUGUACAAUUUUAACCCUGAGAACAAGACCGAAGACAUCCUUAGGAAAAUCACAGUCAUUAUUUUCUCUAACCACUUAUCUUUUCCCUCCUAUGCCCUAAUCUGGUCAUAAUUGGCUUGAGGUGACAUUUACUUUAAAAUGGAGAAAUGAGAAAUAAUGUUUGCAAGAAUGCUAGACCCCAAAAACAGCAAAUAAAAUAGUGUUAAAAAAAAUAAACCAGGAGUUCCCGUCGUGGCGCAGUGGUUAACGAAUCCGACUAGGAACCAUGAGGUUGUGGGUUCGGUCCCUGCCCUUGCUCAGUGGGUUAACGAUCCGGUGUUGCCGUGAGCUGUGGUGUAGGUUGCAGACGCGGCUCGGAUCCCGCGUUGCUGUGGCUCUGGUGUAGGCCGGUGGCUACAGCUCCGAUUCAACCCCUAGCCUGGGAACCUCCAUAUGCCGCGAGAGCGGCCCAAAGAAAUAGCAAAAAGACAAAAAAAUAAAAA
RNAcentral lists this long non-coding RNA (7092 nucleotides) under Sus scrofa (pig). Its description in RNAcentral is "lncRNA (ENSSSCG00015001201.1)". Lineage: Eukaryota; Metazoa; Chordata; Mammalia; Artiodactyla; Suidae. The record is from RNAcentral.